GAGUUUGAUCGUGGCUCAGGAUUAACGCUAGCGGCAGGCAUAAUACAUGCAAGUUGAACGAGAUAAGCUGUAGCAAUAUGGCUUUGAAAGUGGCGCACGGGUGCGUAACACGUAUGCAACCUACCUUUUACAGGGGGAUAGCCUCUCGAAAGAGAGAUUAAUACCCCAUAAUAUAUUUGUUGGGCAUCUAAUGAAUAUUAAAGCUGAGGCGGUAAAAGAUGGGCAUGCGGCUGAUUAGCUAGUUGGUGGGUAAAGGCCCACCAAGGCGACGAUCAGUAGCUGGUCUGAGAGGACGAUCAGCCACACUGGGACUGAGACACGGCCCAGACUCCUACGGAGGCAGCAGUGGGGAAUUUUGGACAAUGGGGGCGAACCCUGA
This 379-nucleotide ribosomal RNA is filed under the name uncultured Flavobacterium sp. RNAcentral describes it as "bacterial SSU rRNA". It matches the Rfam family "Bacterial small subunit ribosomal RNA", at positions 9 to 386 of the family's 1533-position model. Lineage: Bacteria; Pseudomonadati; Bacteroidota; Flavobacteriia; Flavobacteriales; Flavobacteriaceae. The record is from RNAcentral.